RNAcentral lists this ribosomal RNA (253 nucleotides) under uncultured bacterium. RNAcentral's name for it is "partial 16S ribosomal RNA". It matches the Rfam family "Bacterial small subunit ribosomal RNA", at positions 524 to 776 of the family's 1533-position model. The record is from RNAcentral.
CACGUAGGGUGCGAGCGUUAAUCGGAAUUACUGGGCGUAAAGCGUGCGCAGGCGGUUCGUUAAGACAGAUGUGAAAUCCCCGGGCUCAACCUGGGAACUGCAUUUGUGACUGUAGAGCUGGAGUACGGUAGAGGGGGAUGGAAUUCCGCGUGUAGCAGUGAAAUGCGUAGAUAUGCGGAGGAACACCGAUGGCGAAGGCAAUCCCCUGGACCUGUACUGACGCUCAUGCACGAAAGCGUGGGGAGCAAACAGG